Eriocheir sinensis (Chinese mitten crab) is the source of this 710-nucleotide long non-coding RNA. RefSeq lists it as uncharacterized. The record is from RefSeq and is a predicted model, not a curated record. The transcript is spliced from 3 exons. Lineage: Eukaryota; Metazoa; Arthropoda; Malacostraca; Decapoda; Varunidae.
GUGUCAUCUCGGCAGCGGUGCCGGCCGGUGUUUGCGACGCCCUCUAGCGGCGGAACCUGUGCGAGAAGCUGAUUCCGAACCCGUGGGACCUGCAAAAAGGCAAAUUGGAGUCAGAUGAGAAGUAUGCCUCAGCAAGGUUAGCUAUACAUGAAUGAUCUACUAAACACGGUACAUCUGCCAUCAGUGUUGUGUCUACUAAUGCUAGCAAGGACUUACUUGCCGCUGGAGCCCCAGUUCCUGUGGGCGUUGACACCGACGGCGGUCCUGCCGUUGUUGAAGCGACGGUUGUAGCCCGCACUGGCAUGGUAGUUCCUGCCGUAGGCUCUGUGUGUGUGAGACAGGUGUUAGGACGCACUGGCAUGGUAGUUCCUGCCGUAGGGUUGGUGUGGGGGAGGCAGGUACUAAAACAUAAGAACUUAAGAACAUAAGAAUGUAAGGAGUCUGCAAGAGGCCGGUUGGCCUAUAAUACAAGGCAGCUCCUGUAAUCCUAACCCCACCUUACCUCACUAUCCAUGAAUUUGUCCAACCUCUUCUUGAAUGUAUCUAUGGUAUGGCACCCACAACAUGACAUGUACUACCACAGUUUGAGCUGCAUUUGGUUAAGGCAAUCUUGGCAAGGUACAGACAAGACACAGUUUCCUCACCCUCGAUUCAUUCCAAAGUCGAACGUGGCCUGUCUCUUCCUGCGGUCAUGCUCCUCCUCCUCCUCC